GCGGUCAUGGCGGAACGGCAGACGCGCUGUCUUGAGGGGGCAGUGGGGGUAUCCCUGUGUGGGUUCAAAUCCCACUGGCCGCA
Molecule: transfer RNA, 83 nt
Filed under: Eremococcus coleocola ACS-139-V-Col8
Lineage: Bacteria; Bacillati; Bacillota; Bacilli; Lactobacillales; Aerococcaceae
Rfam family: tRNA
About the family: Transfer RNA (tRNA) molecules are approximately 80 nucleotides in length.
Source: Rfam by way of RNAcentral